CAAGUACUAGUCUCAGUAGAUUGAGGAGAGCACCACAGUGGUCACCACACAGUCCGCCGAGGUUGAAGCUGC
This 72-nucleotide microRNA precursor is filed under the name Homo sapiens (human). RNAcentral describes it as "mir-622 microRNA precursor family". It matches the Rfam family "mir-622 microRNA precursor family". Lineage: Eukaryota; Metazoa; Chordata; Mammalia; Primates; Hominidae. The record is from Rfam by way of RNAcentral.